GAAAGAAAGCGAUGUUGGUGAGGUUCAAUCUGAAGACGGAUUUACAUAAUAAGAAUUGUAAAAGACGAUCUCAGAUUGAGCCGCGCCAAUAUCACUUUCUCAUAC
Molecule: non-coding RNA, 105 nt
Organism: Jatropha curcas
Lineage: Eukaryota; Viridiplantae; Streptophyta; Magnoliopsida; Malpighiales; Euphorbiaceae
Source: Rfam